GACGAACGCUGGCGGCGUGCUUAACACAUGCAAGUCGAACGGAAAGGCCCUGCUUUUGUGGGGUGCUCGAGUGGCGAACGGGUGAGUAACACGUGAGUAACCUGCCCUUGACUUUGGGAUAACUUCAGGAAACUGGGGCUAAUACCGGAUAGGAGCUCCUGCUGCAUGGCGGGGGUUGGAAAGUUUCGGCGGUUGGGGAUGGACUCGCGGCUUAUCAGCUUGUUGGUGGGGUAGUGGCUUACCAAGGCUUUGACGGGUAGCCGGCCUGAGAGGGUGACCGGCCACAUUGGGACUGAGAUACGGCCCAGACUCCUACGGGAGGCAGCAGUGGGGAAUAUUGCACAAUGGGCGGAAGCCUGAUGCAGCAACGCCGCGUGCGGGAUGACGGCCUUCGGGUUGUAAACCGCUUUCGCCUGUGACGAAGCGUGAGUGACGGUAAUGGGUAAAGAAGCACCGGCUAACUACGUGCCAGCAGCCGCGGUGAUACGUAGGGUGCGAGCGUUGUCCGGAUUUAUUGGGCGUAAAGGGCUCGUAGGUGGUUGAUCGCGUCGGAAGUGUAAUCUCGGGGCUUAACCCUGAGCGUGCUUUCGAUACGGGUUGACUUGAGGAAGGUAGGGGAGAAUGGAAUUCCUGGUGGAGCGGUGGAAUGCGCAGAUAUCAGGAGGAACACCAGUGGCGAAGGCGGUUCUCUGGGCCUUUCCUGACGCUGAGGAGCGAAAGCGUGGGGAGCGAACAGGCUUAGAUACCCUGGUAGUCCACGCUGUAAACGGUGGGUACUAGGUGUGGGGUCCAUUCCACGGGUUCCGUGCCGUAGCUAACGCUUUAAGUACCCCGCCUGGGGAGUACGGCCGCAAGGCUAAAACUCAAAGGAAUUGACGGGGCCCCGCACAAGCGGCGGAGCAUGCGGAUUAAUUCGAUGCAACGCGUAGAACCUUACCUGGGUUUGACAUGGAUCGGGAGUGCUCAGAGAUGGGUGUGCCUCUUUUGGGGUCGGUUCACAGGUGGUGCAUGGCUGUCGUCAGCUCGUGUCGUGAGAUGUUGGGUUAAGUCCCGCAACGAGCGCAACCCUUGUUCACUGUUGCCAGCACGUUAUGGUGGGGACUCAGUGGAGACCGCCGGGGUCAACUCGGAGGAAGGUGGGGAUGACGUCAAGUCAUCAUGCCCCUUAUGUCCAGGGCUUCACGCAUGCUACAAUGGCUGGUACAGAGAGUGGCGAGCCUGUGAGGGUGAGCGAAUCUCGGAAAGCCGGUCUCAGUUCGGAUUGGGGUCUGCAACUCGACCUCAUGAAGUCGGAGUCGCUAGUAAUCGCAGAUCAGCAACGCUGCGGUGAAUACGUUCCCGGG
Molecule: ribosomal RNA, 1343 nt
Filed under: uncultured bacterium
Lineage: Bacteria
Description: 16S ribosomal RNA
Rfam family: Bacterial small subunit ribosomal RNA
Source: RNAcentral